GCAUAUCAAUAAGCGGAGGAAAAGAAACCAACAGGGAUUGCCUCAGUAGCGGCGAGUGAAGCGGCAAAAGCUCAAAUUUGAAAUCUGGCGUCUUUGGCGUCCGAGUUGUAAUUUGAAGAAGGUAUCUUUGGGCCCGGCUCUUGUCUAUGUUCCUUGGAACAGGACGUCACAGAGGGUGAGAAUCCCGUGCGAUGAGAUGACCCGGGUCUGUGUAAAGUUCCUUCGACGAGUCGAGUUGUUUGGGAAUGCAGCUCUAAGUGGGUGGUAAAUUCCAUCUAAAGCUAAAUAUUGGCGAGAGACCGAUAGCGAACAAGUACAGUGAUGGAAAGAUGAAAAGAACUUUGAAAAGAGAGUGAAAAAGUACGUGAAAUUGUUGAAAGGGAAGGGCUUGAGAUCAGACUUGGUAUUUUGCAUGCUGCUCUCUCGGGGGCGGCCGCUGCGGUUUACCGGGCCAGCAUCGGUUUGGAGCGGCAGGAUAAUGGCGGAGGAAUGUGGCACGGCUUCUGCUGUGUGUUAUAGCCUCUGACGAUACUGCCAGCCUAGACCGAGGACUGCGGUUUUUACCUAGGAUGUUGGCAUAAUGAUCUUAAGUCGCCCGUCUUGAAACACGGACC
This 614-nucleotide ribosomal RNA is filed under the name Candida albicans. RNAcentral's name for it is "LSU rRNA". It matches the Rfam family "Eukaryotic large subunit ribosomal RNA", at positions 38 to 667 of the family's 3401-position model. The record is from RNAcentral. Lineage: Eukaryota; Fungi; Ascomycota; Pichiomycetes; Serinales; Debaryomycetaceae.